Long non-coding RNA from Helianthus annuus (common sunflower), 450 nucleotides. RefSeq lists it as uncharacterized. Lineage: Eukaryota; Viridiplantae; Streptophyta; Magnoliopsida; Asterales; Asteraceae. The record is from RefSeq and is a predicted model, not a curated record. The transcript has 3 exons.
AACAAGGGUUUACCCUUGUUCUUGCAAAAAUUCACCAAUUGACAAGGAGAAAUCAAAGAUUACUCACUGCAUGUUCUAAAGUUUCAAUCAUCCAAGCAUUUCUAGUGGAGUGGCGUGAAGGAAGAAAGUUCAAAUUCUAAGAAACCGGAAGGAUCACAAGACCGAGGUAAAACUCCACUUUAGGCGAUCUGGAGAUUUAGAGCGAGCACGUGUCCAUGCCUUAUUUUACCAAGCGCUUCCGCUAGUUUAUAUGCUUACUUUUUGGGUCCAUGUCUUGUUAUUUUGUUUAAUCUUGUUAGAAGUCAUACACUUGAAAACUUGUUAUCUUUGUUUGGGGUAGUUUAAUGCUAAUAGGGUCGUAGACGGAUGUUGUCUAUUAUGUUAAAAACAGGGAGCAUGUUCGUUUUACGAACGGGUCAUGCCCAAUUUUUGUAAAAUUUUUAUUAUGUA